Molecule: ribosomal RNA, 526 nt
Filed under: uncultured bacterium
Lineage: Bacteria
Description: partial 16S ribosomal RNA
Rfam family: Bacterial small subunit ribosomal RNA
Source: RNAcentral
UGGGGAAUAUUGCACAAUGGGCGCAAGCCUGAUGCAGCCAUGCCGCGUGUGUGAAGAAGGCCUUCGGGUUGUAAAGCACUUUCAGCGAGGAGGAAGGUGGUGAGCUUAAUACGCUCAUCAAUUGACGUUACUCGCAGAAGAAGCACCGGCUAACUCCGUGCCAGCAGCCGCGGUAAUACGGAGGGUGCAAGCGUUAAUCGGAAUUACUGGGCGUAAAGCGCACGCAGGCGGUUUGUUAAGUCAGAUGCGAAAUCCCCGGGCUCAACCUGGGAACUGCAUUUGAAACUGGCAAGCUAGAGUCUCGUAGAGGGGGGUAGAAUUCCAGGUGUAGCGGUGAAAUGCGUAGAGAUCUGGAGGAAUACCGGUGGCGAAGGCGGCCCCCCUGGACGAAGACUGACGCUCAGGUGCGAAAGCGUGGGGCAGCAAACAGGAUUAGAUACCCUGGUAGUCCACGCUGUAAACGAUGUCGAUUUGGAGGUUGUGCCCUUGAGGCGUGGCUUCCGGAGCUAACGCGUUAAAUCGACCG